This 585-nucleotide ribosomal RNA is filed under the name uncultured bacterium. RNAcentral describes it as "bacterial SSU rRNA". It matches the Rfam family "Bacterial small subunit ribosomal RNA", at positions 338 to 916 of the family's 1533-position model. The record is from RNAcentral.
CCUACGGGAGGCAGCAGUGGGGAAUUUUGGACAAUGGGCGCAAGCCUGAUCCAGCCAUGCCGCGUGUGGGAAGAAGGCCUUCGGGUUGUAAACCACUUUUGUCAGGGAAGAAACGGUCUGAACUAAUACUUUGGACUAAUGACGGUACCUGAAGAAUAAGCACCGGCUAACUACGUGCCAGCAGCCGCGGUAAUACGUAGGGUGCAAGCGUUAAUCGGAAUUACUGGGCGUAAAGCGUGCGCAGGCGGCUUUGCAAGACAGAUGUGAAAUCCCCGGGCUCAACCUGGGAACUGCAUUUGUGACUGCAUGGCUAGAGUACGGUAGAGGGGGGAUGGAAUUCCGCGUGUAGCAGUGAAAUGCGUAGAUAUGCGGAGGAACACCGAUGGCGAAGGCAAUCCCCUGGACCUGUACUGACGCUCAUGCACGAAAGCGUGGGGGAGCAAACAGGAUUAGAUACCCUGGUAGUCCACGCCCUAAACGAUGUCAACUGGUUGUUGGGAGGGUUUCUUNUCAGUAACGAAGCUAAGCGUGAAGUUGACCGCCUGGGGAGUACGGCCGCAGGUUGAAACUUAAAGGAAUUGACGG